UAGUAUCAGCGUGUCAGCCGCCGCGGUAAUACGAAGGGGGCUAGCGUUGUUCGGAAUUACUGGGCGUAAAGCGCACGUAGGCGGGUAUUUAAGUCAGGGGUGAAAUCCCAGAGCUCAACUCUGGAACUGCCUUUGAUACUGGGUACCUAGAGUAUGGAAGAGGUAAGUGGAAUUCCGAGUGUAGAGGUGAAAUUCGUAGAUAUUCGGAGGAACACCAGUGGCGAAGGCGGCUUACUGGUCCAUUACUGACGCUGAGGUGCGAAAGCGUGGGGAGCGAACGGGAUUAGAUACCCUGGUAGUCCAUGCCGUAAACGAUGAGUGUUCGCCCUUGGUCUAUUCUGAUCUGGGGCUCAGCUAACGCGUUAAACACUCCGCCUGGGGAGUACGGUCGCAAGACCGAAACUCAAAAGGAAUU
This 415-nucleotide ribosomal RNA is filed under the name uncultured bacterium. Its description in RNAcentral is "bacterial SSU rRNA". It matches the Rfam family "Bacterial small subunit ribosomal RNA", at positions 495 to 911 of the family's 1533-position model. The record is from RNAcentral.